This 20-nucleotide ribosomal RNA is filed under the name Desmodesmus armatus. Its description in RNAcentral is "partial 28S ribosomal RNA". The record is from RNAcentral. Lineage: Eukaryota; Viridiplantae; Chlorophyta; Chlorophyceae; Sphaeropleales; Scenedesmaceae.
GACCUGAGCUCAGGCAAGGC